CAUCACGGAUGAUCGCGCAGUUUAUUUAAAACUGUGAGGAAAGUCCAUGCUCACACAAGCUGAGAUGCUUGUAGUGUUCGUGCGCAGCGAAAUAAUAAGCUGCGGCUCCCAUUUAGAUGGGAUGACGGCAGGAAAAAAAGCUAAGGGGUUAAACCUAUGCUUGAGUACUCUUGAAAGUGCCACAGUGACGAAGCAGAUGUAGAAAUGCAUCUGGUGGAACGCGGUAAACCCCUCGAGUGAGCAACCCAAAUUUUGGUCGGGGCACUUUUCUCCUGGAAAUGAACAGAGAGAAGAGGCAGGGCAACUAUGCUCGUGCAGACAGAUGAUCAUCUCGGAUAAGACGUUACCGUUUUAUCUAGACAGAACAUGGCUUACAGUG
Molecule: RNase P RNA, 379 nt
Filed under: Tetragenococcus halophilus
Lineage: Bacteria; Bacillati; Bacillota; Bacilli; Lactobacillales; Enterococcaceae
Also listed under: 2 other names
Description: RNase P RNA component class B
Rfam family: Bacterial RNase P class B
About the family: Ribonuclease P (RNase P) is a ubiquitous endoribonuclease, found in archaea, bacteria and eukarya as well as chloroplasts and mitochondria.
Source: RNAcentral